CAAUGUGGUCCCGAAGCGACCAGCGCCGGGAGCUGCAGCGCUGAGACCCCCAGCCCGCCUGACCCAGCCCGCCCCCUCGGGCUCCCGGCCGGGGCCCCAUCAUGUUCUCCAGGAAGAAACGAGAGCUCAUGAAAACCCCUUCCAUCUCGAAAAAGAACCGCGCGGGAAGCCCCAGCCCGCAGCCCUCGGGGGUCCCCCGUCAUGCGUGCCCGGAAGAGCAGCUUCAACGUGAGUGAUGUGGCGGGGCCCGAGGCUGCCGGGAGCCCCCCAGAAGAAGGCGGGUGCAUUGAGGGCACACCUGUCAAGGGCCACAGGGGUGAGUGUCCGGCGGGGCCCAGGGGCGGACGCUGGCUCCCUGCGACCCACCCUGGUCCUUCACCAGAGACGCCUCUUUCUCCAGCCGGGCGAGGACACCAGGUUCACAAGUCAUGGCCGCUCUCGAUCUCAGACUCGGCCAGUGGGCUGGACCCCGGCCCUGGCGCAGGGGACUUUAAGAAGUUCGAGCGGACGUCAUCCAGUGGUACCAUGUCGUCCACGGAGGAGCUGGUGGACCCAGAGGGUGGAGCCGGGGCUUCAGCCUUUGAGCAGGCUGACCUCAACGGCAUGACCCCUGAGCUGCCGGUGGCCGUGCCCAGUGGACCGUUCCGCCACGAGGGGCU
This 659-nucleotide small RNA is filed under the name Pongo abelii (Sumatran orangutan). RNAcentral's name for it is "retained intron". Lineage: Eukaryota; Metazoa; Chordata; Mammalia; Primates; Hominidae. The record is from RNAcentral.